GUUGCAGUGGCCUAAUGGUUGGCGUGUUGGACUCCGGAUCGAAUGGUCUGGGUUCAAGCGCUGCCUGCGGUCACU
Molecule: non-coding RNA, 75 nt
Organism: Desmophyllum pertusum
Lineage: Eukaryota; Metazoa; Cnidaria; Anthozoa; Scleractinia; Caryophylliidae
Source: the annotation of a GenBank genome assembly